AAAAGACCAACAUCAAAGAGGCGGCAAGAAUUUGGUCAAGAUGACGAGUACAAUUCAUGAGCUAAAAUUAUCAACAAUAAUGUCAUGCAUGGCCUUCAAGGCCUGUAGGUUCUGCCGUGGGAAAAAUCCCAUCAUCGAAUUAACUAUAAAUAAAUCAGUAAUUCUUUUAUUAAAAAUGUCUUUAGCAAUCUAGUGCUCCCAAAAUCAAGUUAGACAGCUAGGUACCACAUUAAUUCUCUGAGGUAAAAAAGGGCAUCUUGUGUAAUAUGCACAUCAGCACAUAUAAUCUCUAGCAAGCAACUUUAUACUCUCUUCAUUCAUAGGAAAGAAAGAAAAAAAUCAAUGGAAAUGUUAGUGUGUUUAUGAAUAAAUGAG
This 375-nucleotide long non-coding RNA is filed under the name Panax ginseng (ginseng). RNAcentral describes it as "long non-coding RNA (PGIN_LNC009528)". Lineage: Eukaryota; Viridiplantae; Streptophyta; Magnoliopsida; Apiales; Araliaceae. The record is from RNAcentral.